UACGUAGGGGGCAAGCGUUAUCCGGAUUUACUGGGUGUAAAGGGAGCGUAGACGGCCAGACAAGUCUGAAGUGAAAAUCCAGCGCUUAACGUUGGAAGUGCUUUGGAAACUGCCGGGCUAGAGUGCAGGAGGGGCAGGCGGAAUCCCUAGUGUAGCGGUGAAAUGCGUAGAUAUUAGGAGGAACACCAGUGGCGAAGGCGGCCUGCUGGACUGCAACUGACGUUGAGGCUCGAAGGCGUGGGGAGCAAACAGG
Molecule: ribosomal RNA, 253 nt
Filed under: uncultured bacterium
Lineage: Bacteria
Description: partial 16S ribosomal RNA
Rfam family: Bacterial small subunit ribosomal RNA
Source: RNAcentral